ACACCCACAGCCGCCCUUAAACACUCUCUUCUCUCCCAAACCUAAACCCUAACCGACUCAGAAAAUUUUCCUUCGCCCUUUCCUUAUACGCGUUCAUACACGGGUUCACUUGCCUUAUUUGUUCUUACUUACUCAGUUAUGGUAACUUUCGUUACCAGUCUGUCUAUGGCAAGGACGAUUCUCUUGAAUCGGGUAGAUAUGACUUCGGCCUUAUGGAUUUGGAUAUGAUCUUGGCUUUAUAAAUCCGGGAAGAGAGAAUAUCUUUCCAAUCUCGCGUAUCUCUGCUGAUUUCUUCGUGAUUAGGGUUUGUGUGCGACUUGCAAUACAUCUGAUUCCAACUAGGUUUGCAUGAUUUUGAUUCUUUCGUUAUUUAUUUGUCUGAUACUGGUACUAUGUAAUCCCCCCCCUUUCCCCUAAGAGGCAGACUUAGGUCACUCAUCUCUCAUCUCUCACUUUCACUUGUUGCUCUGUUUUCUUGUUUCCACUGUUCUUUGGUUGAUUUUUGGCCGGCUGAAAGUCAAGGCCAAUGGGCUUUUGGUUUUUAACCUUACUGGAAUAAGCACUGCUCGGGAUCCCUAGAGGUCCUCGUGAACUCUGAUUUGCCGGGAUUCAAGAUUCUGGGAACACCAUUUGGCACUCUUUUCAAUUUCUAUUACCUAUUCCAUUUAUCAUCUUGACUGGUUAGUCUCUUUAGCCUCUAUUUUACUCUUGCAUGUUUAGUUGUGAUGUGAAUGGCUUUUCCAAUUGUGUUCUUGUCUUAAUUUUUGUAGUCAAAGGAUGUUCAUAGGAAAUCUUUGCUAUUGUCUCACCUCAUACAGUUCAACUGUUGAUGUUUAUGUUUAAAUCAUGACUAUGCUCGAUGACUGUUUGUAUAAUUAGACUUAACUAGUCGAUUGAGUAAGGAUAUUGUUUGAAUUUGGUGUUUGGAGUGUCACUCUUUGAUAAUUAUUUUACCAUGUUAUUAAACUUAGAAGGCGACUGAAAUUGGUUAUGAUUGAUAGAGUAGGACUGUAGAUUCAUGUUAUUUGCUAUUUAAUAAGAGACCUCACAUGUGUUUUUUUCCCAUGAUAAGUCAGACCCUAAGUUUGCCUAAAAAUCAUGCUCCUAUUGUUAUCAAUCAUUAACGAGGCCUCAAAUUGGAGGACAUUCGUUUAUGUGUUGUUCAUGCCUCAAUUCUAUGGUAUCCAUAGUUUCUUAGGACCUGCCUCUUCCUUGUUAAUAAUGAACUUGCCUGUAGACCUUUAGCUAGUUGUUUUGUGUAAAUUUUGUCCAUUAGGACUUGGGUUUUCUUGUUUGAAUUAGUGACAAGCAUGAUAGAUGUAGUACACAUUGCCUUGCUUACAACUUGUGUUAUUUGUUUGAAAUUCUUUUCCUCACAUUUUGUUUGAACGACUAAUCGCUAAAAUACAUAUUAGCAUGUGCAUCUGGAAGGUCUGCCUCUAAGGGUGAAGUUUUGUUAGCCUGGUCCUCUAAAUUGGUCAUGAGCAUGGUUUGGAUGAGUCUUGCCUAUGAGAUCAUUCGGGUAUCACAUUCAACAUGGCUUUUCAUUGCUGCUGAGUUAUGAGUGCAACUUUUGGGUCUCGUCCAUUUCCUGGGAAAUUCUGAAGGCCAGAUACACUUCGGUUCACAUUGUAUCAAAUUACUAUGUCACUGGGCCUGUGGCCAGUGUAUUUUUAUCUCUUACUUGUAAUAAUGAC
RNAcentral lists this long non-coding RNA (1697 nucleotides) under Nicotiana tabacum (common tobacco). Its description in RNAcentral is "long non-coding RNA (NTAB_LNC013706)". The record is from RNAcentral. Lineage: Eukaryota; Viridiplantae; Streptophyta; Magnoliopsida; Solanales; Solanaceae.